GAACCCCAAGGGAGAAAUGAAAGGGUCUGCCAUCACUGGCCCAAUUGGUAAAGAAUGUGCUGAUCUAUGGCCUAGGAUUGCAUCUGCUGCCAAUGCUAUUGUGUAGAAGAAGUAGGAGCUCCCCUAAGUAGUUUAUGAUUCUUGUUUUUUUUGGGUUGUCAUUAAGUUUUCGGAUAUCUGAGGAACGGUUUUGUCUUGGUAAGAAUUAUUUGUUCAAAAUUUUGGGGUGAUCAUCAAAUGAUUGUUCUCAUUUCCAUGGUUUUGAAUA
Molecule: unclassified non-coding RNA, 268 nt
Filed under: Hevea brasiliensis (rubber tree)
Lineage: Eukaryota; Viridiplantae; Streptophyta; Magnoliopsida; Malpighiales; Euphorbiaceae
Source: RNAcentral